This is a long non-coding RNA of Sorghum bicolor (sorghum), 627 nucleotides long. RefSeq lists it as uncharacterized. The transcript is spliced from 4 exons. The record is from RefSeq and is a predicted model, not a curated record. NCBI's taxonomy places the organism in Eukaryota, Viridiplantae, Streptophyta, Magnoliopsida, Poales, Poaceae.
UCAUCCACCAAAAAUGGAGCCCCCACGCAGCAGCGGUUCCAUUUUGCCGCUGCGCGAUUUACCUCAUCGCCAGAAAACUUGACACCAUGCCAUGCUCUUGAACGCUACAUGGAAGAAACUCCGGUGUGCUCGAACCUAUAUCAACACCCCACUGAUUGUUGUCGUCUCCGCUGCUGUACAGUGAGUGUGGAAUUGGCGCUGCUCCGUUGAUCGCAGACCCUGUCAUCACCCAUAGUCGAUGUCGGCCACCGUCAACUUCGUCUCCUGCUACAACUAACCCUGAUGUUCUCUUGUGAUGCUUGUAUCGAUUGUUUGCUGACGUUAGAAGUGGAGCUACAUGAGGAGUAUAUCUUUGAGAAGUGGAACCAUCGGCAAGUUUUGGAAGCCAAGUGUAACAUGAGUUCCAUUGUUACCUAAUAAACUAUUUAAUCACAUCUUCAUGUGCAUGAGUCUAAUAUGAUAAACCCCUAAGGACUUUGCCUAGAACUAUUGUAUCUUGUAUCCUUGUUUACCCUGGGGUUAUGCAUAUGGGUAGUUUGCUUAGUUUGCAAUCACCAAACUGUAUAAUAUUAAUACUGAUUAAUGAUUAUGGAAUCAAUAUUACAAUGAUGCUUUCUAGCAACAUGG